CGGCGAGGCGAGGCCUGCGGAGCGGAGGAAGACAAACAUAAAGAUGAAGUGCUUAAUUCAAGGUCACACAAUGUCGGGGAUGGACCUCCAGAUUUCCUUACUGACCUGCAUUAUCUUGUGGAUACCUGAGUGAAUUCCACACCACCCAUUUUAUAGAUGAAACCACUGAGACAUGGAGCAACUGACUGAGUAGUCACUGCCCCACCCCUGCCUGGAGCCUCACACAUGACUCGUCUCCUCUCAGUGACCACAGGUUGGUUGAGGGGUUUAACAAGGCUA
RNAcentral lists this long non-coding RNA (279 nucleotides) under Pan troglodytes (chimpanzee). Its description in RNAcentral is "long non-coding RNA NONPTRT010531". Lineage: Eukaryota; Metazoa; Chordata; Mammalia; Primates; Hominidae. The record is from RNAcentral.